UUUUUUUGUUGGCGGGAGGGGCCCUAUAAUGCAAGUCGAGCGGAGAUGAGGKGSUKGCMCCWWAUCUUAGCGGCGGACGGGUGAGUAAUGCUUAGGAAUCUGCCUAUUAGUGGGGGACAACAUUCCGAAAGGAAUGCUAAUACCGCAUACGUCCUACGGGAGAAAGCAGGGGAUCUUCGGACCUUGCGCUAAUAGAUGAGCCUAAGUCGGAUUAGCUAGUUGGUGGGGUAAAGGCCUACCAAGGCGACGAUCUGUAGCGGGUCUGAGAGGAUGAUCCGCCACACUGGGACUGAGACACGGCCCAGACUCCUACGGGAGGCAGCAGUGGGGAAUAUUGGACAAUGGGGGGAACCCUGAUCCAGCCAUGCCGCGUGUGUGAAGAAGGCCUUAUGGUUGUAAAGCACUUUAAGCGAGGAGGAGGCUACUGAGACUAAUACUCUUGGAUAGUGGACGUUACUCGCAGAAUAAGCACCGGCUAACUCUGUGCCAGCAGCCGCGGUAAUACAGAGGGUGCGAGCGUUAAUCGGAUUUACUGGGCGUAAAGCGUGCGUAGGCGGCUUUUUAAGUCGGAUGUGAAAUCCCCGAGCUUAACUUGGGAAUUGCAUUCGAUACUGGGAAGCUAGAGUAUGGGAGAGGAUGGUAGAAUUCCAGGUGUAGCGGUGAAAUGCGUAGAGAUCUGGAGGAAUACCGAUGGCGAAGGCAGCCAUCUGGCCUAAUACUGACGCUGAGGUACGAAAGCAUGGGGAGCARACAGGAUUAGAUACCCUGGUAGUCCAUGCCGUAAACGAUGUCUACUAGCCGUUGGGGCCUUUGAGGCUUUAGUGGCGCAGCUAACGCGAUAAGUAGACCGCCUGGGGAGUACGGUCGCAAGACUAAAACUCAAAUGAAUUGACGGGGGCCCGCACAAGCGGUGGAGCAUGUGGUUUAAUUCGAUGCAACGCGAAGAACCUUACCUGGCCUUGACAUACUAGAAACUUUCCAGWGRKGGAYUKGUGCCUUCGGGAAUCUAGAUACAGGUGUGAGGGGCUUUUCCGUCAAAA
RNAcentral lists this ribosomal RNA (1040 nucleotides) under Acinetobacter sp. RNAcentral's name for it is "bacterial SSU rRNA". It matches the Rfam family "Bacterial small subunit ribosomal RNA", at positions 28 to 1060 of the family's 1533-position model. Lineage: Bacteria; Pseudomonadati; Pseudomonadota; Gammaproteobacteria; Moraxellales; Moraxellaceae. The record is from RNAcentral.